CGGGUGAGUAUGCCUAGGAAUCUGCCUGGUAGUGGGGGAUAACGCUCGGAAACGGACGCUAAUACCGCAUACGUCCUACGGGAGAAAGCAGGGGACCUUCGGGCCUUGCGCUAUCAGAUGAGCCUAGGUCGGAUUAGCUAGUUGGUGAGGUAAUGGCUCACCAAGGCGACGAUCCGUAACUGGUCUGAGAGGAUGAUCAGUCACACUGGAACUGAGACACGGUCCAGACUCCUACGGGAGGCAGCAGUGGGGAAUAUUGGACAAUGGGCGAAAGCCUGAUCCAGCCAUGCCGCGUGUGUGAAGAAGGUCUUCGGAUUGUAAAGCACUUUAAGUUGGGAGGAAGGGCAGUUACCUAAUACGUAUCUGUUUUGACGUUACCGACAGAAUAAGCACCGGCUAACUCUGUGCCAGCAGCCGCGGUAAUACAGAGGGUGCAAGCGUUAAUCGGAAUUACUGGGCGUAAAGCGCGCGUAGGUGGUUCGUUAAGUUGGAUGUGAAAUCCCCGGGCUCAACCUGGGAACUGCAUUCAAAACUGACGAGCUAGAGUAUGGUAGAGGGUGGUGGAAUUUCCUGUGUAGCGGUGAAAUGCGUAGAUAUAGGAAAGGAACACCAGUGGCGAA
Molecule: ribosomal RNA, 620 nt
Filed under: Pseudomonas lini
Lineage: Bacteria; Pseudomonadati; Pseudomonadota; Gammaproteobacteria; Pseudomonadales; Pseudomonadaceae
Description: bacterial SSU rRNA
Rfam family: Bacterial small subunit ribosomal RNA
Source: RNAcentral